GAUGAACGCUGGCGGCGUGCUUAACACAUGCAAGUCGAACGAAGCACUUUAUUUGAUUUCCUUCGGGAUUGAUUAUUUUGUGACUGAGUGGCGGACGGGUGAGUAACGCGUGGGUAACCUGCCUUGUACAGGGGGAUAACAGUUGGAAACGGCUGCUAAUACCGCAUAAGCGCACAGCAUCGCAUGAUGCAGUGUGAAAAACUCCGGUGGUAUAAGAUGGACCCGCGUUGGAUUAGCUAGUUGGUGAGGUAACGGCCCACCAAGGCGACGAUCCAUAGCCGACCUGAGAGGGUGACCGGCCACAUUGGGACUGAGACACGGCCCAAACUCCUACGGGAGGCAGCAGUGGGGAAUAUUGCACAAUGGGCGAAAGCCUGAUGCAGCGACGCCGCGUGAGCGAAGAAGUAUUUCGGUAUGUAAAGCUCUAUCAGCAGGGAAGAUAAUGACGGUACCUGACUAAGAAGCACCGGCUAAAUACGUGCCAGCAGCCGCGGUAAUACGUAUGGUGCAAGCGUUAUCCGGAUUUACUGGGUGUAAAGGGAGCGCAGGCGGUGCGGCAAGUCUGAUGUGAAAGCCCGGGGCUCAACCCCGGUACUGCAUUGGAAACUGUCGUACUAGAGUGUCGGAGGGGUAAGCGGAAUUCCUAGUGUAGCGGUGAAAUGCGUAGAUAUUAGGAGGAACACCAGUGGCGAAGGCGGCUUACUGGACGAUAACUGACGCUGAGGCUCGAAAGCGUGGGGAGCAAACAGGAUUAGAUACCCUGGUAGUCCACGCCGUAAACG
This 782-nucleotide ribosomal RNA is filed under the name uncultured bacterium. RNAcentral's name for it is "bacterial SSU rRNA". It matches the Rfam family "Bacterial small subunit ribosomal RNA", at positions 28 to 808 of the family's 1533-position model. The record is from RNAcentral.